CCUUCCAGAAGGUAUCCUUCUGGCAAGGGUACUGUACUAAACUAACUAAAGUGGGGGAUAGUGAGGGGAUAAAUUUUCUUAAGGAACUCGGCAAAAUCCCAAUGGCCCACCAGGGCAUAUUGGAACACGGGCCUCGACUGUUUACCAAAAACAUAGCCCUCGGCUAAUAUGAAAAUAGAUGUAUAGAGGGUGAUGCCUGCCCAAUGGUUGUAUCUAAAAGCGGUUGAUAAAAGUCGACCUCGUAAGGACAAUUGAAUGGCCGCGGUAACACUGACCGUGAUAAUGUAGCGUAAUCAAUAGCCAAUUAAUUGUUGGCCAGUAUGAAUGGCGCCACGAAGGCCCCACUGUCUUAAGGAAAUUCCCAGUGAAAUUGAAUUCGUAGUGAAGAUGCUACGUGCAAUUUGUUAGACGAAAAGACCCCGUUGAGCUUUACUGGAGCACUUACAUGGCCCUGGCCUUCCCAUGCUUGGGAACCGGCCGAAUUUCCCUAUCAAAUGAUAGGCUACUAGAAAAUGGGCGGCUUAGAUUAUGUGGCAGCCCCCCGCUGGGGCAAAUGAAACCCCACUCCCCCAUGUCAAAGGGGCUAACCCCCCCCCUUGGGGGGACAGUGUAAGUAGGACAGUUUGGUUGGGGCGACCGCCUUUUAAAGAGUAACGAAGGUGCGCUUAAGGUGCGCAAUUAAUGACUGAAGCCUGACUGCGAGGGGGACACCCCGAGCAGACACCCCAAAGCCCGCCCGAAGGGCGGCGGUGGGGUGGGCCAUAGUGACCCGUUAAUUUAGAGUGGAAUAGUUAACGAUCAACGAAUAAAAGUUACCACGGGGAUAACAGCGUAAUAUCGUUAGAGAGUUCACAUCGACGACGAUGUUUGCGACCUCGAUGUUGAAUUGCGGCAUCCUGGGGUGCAGCCGCUCCAG
RNAcentral lists this ribosomal RNA (916 nucleotides) under Neozoanthus sp. Iran. RNAcentral describes it as "partial 16S ribosomal RNA". It matches the Rfam family "Bacterial large subunit ribosomal RNA", at positions 1605 to 2569 of the family's 2925-position model. Lineage: Eukaryota; Metazoa; Cnidaria; Anthozoa; Zoantharia; Neozoanthidae. The record is from RNAcentral.